RNAcentral lists this transfer RNA (89 nucleotides) under Catellatospora coxensis. RNAcentral describes it as "tRNA-His". Lineage: Bacteria; Bacillati; Actinomycetota; Actinomycetes; Micromonosporales; Micromonosporaceae. The record is from RNAcentral.
UGCGCCCGUUCACGGCCGCGGCGCAGCGGGCCAUGGACCCGCUCGGCUGCGAGGUCGUGGUCCGGGCGUUCGACCCGCCGGGCAUGCCC